AUACGGAGGGUGCAAGCGUUAUUCGGAAUCACUGGGCGUAAAGGGUGCGUAGGCGGUUUGAUAAGUCUGAUGUGAAAUCCUAUGGCUCAACCAUAGAACUGCAUUGGAAACUGUCAGACUAGAAUACUGAAGGGGCAGAUGGAAUUAGUGGUGUAGGGGUAAAAUCCGUAGAUAUCACUAGGAAUACCGAAAGCGAAAGCGAUCUGCUGUGAAGUUAUUGACGCUGAGGCACGAAAGCGUGGGGAGCACACGGGAUUAGAAACCCUAGUAGUCC
This 274-nucleotide ribosomal RNA is filed under the name uncultured bacterium. RNAcentral describes it as "partial 16S ribosomal RNA". It matches the Rfam family "Bacterial small subunit ribosomal RNA", at positions 523 to 796 of the family's 1533-position model. The record is from RNAcentral.